CACGUAUGGGGCGAGCGUUGUUCGGAAUUAUUGGGCGUAAAGGGCGCGUAGGCGGAUAUGCAAGUCUGGUGUGAAAGACCGCAGCUCAACUGCGGGCACGCGCUGGAAACUGUAUGUCUUGAAUCCUUGAGGGGGAACUGGAAUUCCAGGUGUAGGGGUGAAAUCUGUAGAUAUCUGGAAGAACACCGGUGGCGAAGGCGAGUUCCUGGCAAGUGAUUGACGCUGAGGCGCGAAAGCGUGGGUAGCAAACAGG
Molecule: ribosomal RNA, 253 nt
Filed under: uncultured bacterium
Lineage: Bacteria
Description: partial 16S ribosomal RNA
Rfam family: Bacterial small subunit ribosomal RNA
Source: RNAcentral